This 301-nucleotide ribosomal RNA is filed under the name uncultured bacterium. Its description in RNAcentral is "partial 16S ribosomal RNA". It matches the Rfam family "Bacterial small subunit ribosomal RNA", at positions 509 to 807 of the family's 1533-position model. The record is from RNAcentral.
CAGUAGCCGCGGUAAUACGAAGGGUGCAAGCGUUAAUCGGAAUUACUGGGCGUAAAGCGUGCGUAGGCGGUGAGUUAAGUCUGCUGUGAAAUCCCCGGGCUCAACCUGGGAAUGGCAGUGGAUACUGGCUCGCUAGAGUGUGUCAGAGGAUGGCGGAAUUCCCGGUGUAGCGGUGAAAUGCGUAGAGAUCGGGAGGAACAUCAGUGGCGAAGGCGGCCAUCUGGGACAACACUGACGCUGAGGCACGAAAGCGUGGGGAGCAAACAGGAUUAGAUACCCGUGUAGUCCCUGUCUCUUAUAC